GCCCAUGUAGUUCAGUGGCAGAACAUUUCCAUGGUAAGGAAGAGACGGGAGUUCGAUUCUCCCCUUGGGCUCAA
RNAcentral lists this transfer RNA (74 nucleotides) under Candidatus Moranbacteria bacterium RIFOXYA1_FULL_44_7. Its description in RNAcentral is "tRNA-Thr". It matches the Rfam family "tRNA". From Rfam's summary of the family: Transfer RNA (tRNA) molecules are approximately 80 nucleotides in length. Their secondary structure includes four short double-helical elements and three loops (D, anti-codon, and T loops). RNAcentral also lists the same sequence under 3 other names. Lineage: Bacteria; Candidatus Moraniibacteriota. The record is from RNAcentral.